Molecule: ribosomal RNA, 465 nt
Filed under: Vreelandella stevensii
Lineage: Bacteria; Pseudomonadati; Pseudomonadota; Gammaproteobacteria; Oceanospirillales; Halomonadaceae
Description: partial 16S ribosomal RNA
Rfam family: Bacterial small subunit ribosomal RNA
Source: RNAcentral
CCUACGGGAGGCAGCAGUGGGGAAUAUUGGACAAUGGGGGGAACCCUGAUCCAGCCAUGCCGCGUGUGUGAAGAAGGCCCUCGGGUUGUAAAGCACUUUCAGUGAGGAAGAACGCCUGGUGGUUAAUACCCAUCAGGAAAGACAUCACUCACAGAAGAAGCACCGGCUAACUCCGUGCCAGCAGCCGCGGUAAUACGGAGGGUGCGAGCGUUAAUCGGAAUUACUGGGCGUAAAGCGCGCGUAGGUGGCUUGAUAAGCCGGUUGUGAAAGCCCCGGGCUCAACCUGGGAACGGCAUCCGGAACUGUCAAGCUAGAGUGUAGCAGAGGAAGGUGGAAUUCCCGGUGUAGCGGUGAAAUGCGUAGAGAUCGGGAGGAAUACCAGUGGCGAAGGCGGCCUUCUGGACUGACACUGACACUGAGGUGCGAAAGCGUGGGUAGCAAACAGGAUUAGAUACCCUAGUAGUC